GCCAGGUGUGGAGGCACACACCUGUAAUCCCAGCUACUCAGGAGGCUGAGACAGGAGAAUCAUUUGAACCCGGGAGGCUGAGGUUGCAGUGAGCCGAGAUCGCGCCACUGCACUCUAGCCUGGGUGACAGAGUAAGACUUUGUCUCAA
Molecule: non-coding RNA, 148 nt
Organism: Homo sapiens (human)
Lineage: Eukaryota; Metazoa; Chordata; Mammalia; Primates; Hominidae
Rfam family: Metazoan signal recognition particle RNA
About the family: The signal recognition particle (SRP) is a universally conserved ribonucleoprotein. It is involved in the co-translational targeting of proteins to membranes.
Source: Rfam